RNAcentral lists this ribosomal RNA (2921 nucleotides) under Staphylococcus aureus WMCS6019. Its description in RNAcentral is "bacterial LSU rRNA". It matches the Rfam family "Bacterial large subunit ribosomal RNA". Lineage: Bacteria; Bacillati; Bacillota; Bacilli; Caryophanales; Staphylococcaceae. The record is from RNAcentral.
UUAAGUUAUUAAGGGCGCACGGUGGAUGCCUUGGCACUAGAAGCCGAUGAAGGACGUUACUAACGACGAUAUGCUUUGGGGAGCUGUAAGUAAGCUUUGAUCCAGAGAUUUCCGAAUGGGGAAACCCAGCAUGAGUUAUGUCAUGUUAUCGAUAUGUGAAUACAUAGCAUAUCAGAAGGCACACCCGGAGAACUGAAACAUCUUAGUACCCGGAGGAAGAGAAAGAAAAUUCGAUUCCCUUAGUAGCGGCGAGCGAAACGGGAAGAGCCCAAACCAACAAGCUUGCUUGUUGGGGUUGUAGGACACUCUAUACGGAGUUACAAAGGACGACAUUAGACGAAUCAUCUGGAAAGAUGAAUCAAAGAAGGUAAUAAUCCUGUAGUCGAAAAUGUUGUCUCUCUUGAGUGGAUCCUGAGUACGACGGAGCACGUGAAAUUCCGUCGGAAUCUGGGAGGACCAUCUCCUAAGGCUAAAUACUCUCUAGUGACCGAUAGUGAACCAGUACCGUGAGGGAAAGGUGAAAAGCACCCCGGAAGGGGAGUGAAAUAGAACCUGAAACCGUGUGCUUACAAGUAGUCAGAGCCCGUUAAUGGGUGAUGGCGUGCCUUUUGUAGAAUGAACCGGCGAGUUACGAUUUGAUGCAAGGUUAAGCAGUAAAUGUGGAGCCGUAGCGAAAGCGAGUCUGAAUAGGGCGUUUAGUAUUUGGUCGUAGACCCGAAACCAGGUGAUCUACCCUUGGUCAGGUUGAAGUUCAGGUAACACUGAAUGGAGGACCGAACCGACUUACGUUGAAAAGUGAGCGGAUGAACUGAGGGUAGCGGAGAAAUUCCAAUCGAACCUGGAGAUAGCUGGUUCUCUCCGAAAUAGCUUUAGGGCUAGCCUCAAGUGAUGAUUAUUGGAGGUAGAGCACUGUUUGGACGAGGGGCCCCUCUCGGGUUACCGAAUUCAGACAAACUCCGAAUGCCAAUUAAUUUAACUUGGGAGUCAGAACAUGGGUGAUAAGGUCCGUGUUCGAAAGGGAAACAGCCCAGACCACCAGCUAAGGUCCCAAAAUAUAUGUUAAGUGGAAAAGGAUGUGGCGUUGCCCAGACAACUAGGAUGUUGGCUUAGAAGCAGCCAUCAUUUAAAGAGUGCGUAAUAGCUCACUAGUCGAGUGACACUGCGCCGAAAAUGUACCGGGGCUAAACAUAUUACCGAAGCUGUGGAUUGUCCUUUGGACAAUGGUAGGAGAGCGUUCUAAGGGCGUUGAAGCAUGAUCGUAAGGACAUGUGGAGCGCUUAGAAGUGAGAAUGCCGGUGUGAGUAGCGAAAGACGGGUGAGAAUCCCGUCCACCGAUUGACUAAGGUUUCCAGAGGAAGGCUCGUCCGCUCUGGGUUAGUCGGGUCCUAAGCUGAGGCCGACAGGCGUAGGCGAUGGAUAACAGGUUGAUAUUCCUGUACCACCUAUAAUCGUUUUAAUCGAUGGGGGGACGCAGUAGGAUAGGCGAAGCGUGCGAUUGGAUUGCACGUCUAAGUAGUAAGGCUGAGUAUUAGGCAAAUCCGGUACUCAUUAAGGCUGAGCUGUGAUGGGGAGAAGACAUUGUGUCUUCGAGUCGUUGAUUUCACACUGCCGAGAAAAGCCUCUAGAUAGAAAAUAGGUGCCCGUACCGCAAACCGACACAGGUAGUCAAGAUGAGAAUUCUAAGGUGAGCGAGCGAACUCUCGUUAAGGAACUCGGCAAAAUGACCCCGUAACUUCGGGAGAAGGGGUGCUCUUUAGGGUUAACGCCCAGAAGAGCCGCAGUGAAUAGGCCCAAGCGACUGUUUAUCAAAAACACAGGUCUCUGCUAAACCGUAAGGUGAUGUAUAGGGGCUGACGCCUGCCCGGUGCUGGAAGGUUAAGAGGAGUGGUUAGCUUCUGCGAAGCUACGAAUCGAAGCCCCAGUAAACGGCGGCCGUAACUAUAACGGUCCUAAGGUAGCGAAAUUCCUUGUCGGGUAAGUUCCGACCCGCACGAAAGGCGUAACGAUUUGGGCACUGUCUCAACGAGAGACUCGGUGAAAUCAUAGUACCUGUGAAGAUGCAGGUUACCCGCGACAGGACGGAAAGACCCCGUGGAGCUUUACUGUAGCCUGAUAUUGAAAUUCGGCACAGCUUGUACAGGAUAGGUAGGAGCCUUUGAAACGUGAGCGCUAGCUUACGUGGAGGCGCUGGUGGGAUACUACCCUAGCUGUGUUGGCUUUCUAACCCGCACCACUUAUCGUGGUGGGAGACAGUGUCAGGCGGGCAGUUUGACUGGGGCGGUCGCCUCCUAAAAGGUAACGGAGGCGCUCAAAGGUUCCCUCAGAAUGGUUGGAAAUCAUUCAUAGAGUGUAAAGGCAUAAGGGAGCUUGACUGCGAGACCUACAAGUCGAGCAGGGUCGAAAGACGGACUUAGUGAUCCGGUGGUUCCGCAUGGAAGGGCCAUCGCUCAACGGAUAAAAGCUACCCCGGGGAUAACAGGCUUAUCUCCCCCAAGAGUUCACAUCGACGGGGAGGUUUGGCACCUCGAUGUCGGCUCAUCGCAUCCUGGGGCUGUAGUCGGUCCCAAGGGUUGGGCUGUUCGCCCAUUAAAGCGGUACGCGAGCUGGGUUCAGAACGUCGUGAGACAGUUCGGUCCCUAUCCGUCGUGGGCGUAGGAAAUUUGAGAGGAGCUGUCCUUAGUACGAGAGGACCGGGAUGGACAUACCUCUGGUGUACCAGUUGUCGUGCCAACGGCAUAGCUGGGUAGCUAUGUGUGGACGGGAUAAGUGCUGAAAGCAUCUAAGCAUGAAGCCCCCCUCAAGAUGAGAUUUCCCAACUUCGGUUAUAAGAUCCCUCAAAGAUGAUGAGGUUAAUAGGUUCGAGGUGGAAGCAUGGUGACAUGUGGAGCUGACGAAUACUAAUCGAUCGAAGACUUAAUCAA